RNAcentral lists this ribosomal RNA (430 nucleotides) under uncultured bacterium. RNAcentral's name for it is "bacterial SSU rRNA". It matches the Rfam family "Bacterial small subunit ribosomal RNA", at positions 28 to 444 of the family's 1533-position model. The record is from RNAcentral.
GAUGAACGCUAGCUACAGGCUUAACACAUGCAAGUCGAGGGGAAACGAUAUUGGAAGCUUGCUUCCGAUAGGCGUCGACCGGCGCACGGGUGAGUAACGCGUAUCCAACCUGCCCAUCACUUGGGGAUAACCUUGCGAAAGUAAGACUAAUACCCAAUGACGUCUCUAGAAGACAUCUGAAGGAGAUUAAAGAUUUAUCGGUGAUGGAUGGGGAUGCGUCUGAUUAGCUUGUUGGCGGGGUAACGGCCCACCAAGGCGACGAUCAGUAGGGGUUCUGAGAGGAAGGUCCCCCCACAUUGGAACUGAGACACGGUCCAAAACUCCUACGGGAGGCAGCAGUGAGGAAUAUUGGUCAAUGGGCGAGAGCCUGAACCAGCCAAGUAGCGUGCAGGAUGACGGCCCUAUGGGUUGUAAACUGCUUUUAUAAGGG